Molecule: ribosomal RNA, 460 nt
Filed under: uncultured bacterium
Lineage: Bacteria
Description: partial 16S ribosomal RNA
Rfam family: Bacterial small subunit ribosomal RNA
Source: RNAcentral
CCUACGGGAGGCAGCAGUGAGGAAUAUUGGUCAAUGGACGAGAGUCUGAACCAGCCAAGUAGCGUGAAGGAUGACUGCCCUAUGGGUUGUAAACUUCUUUUAUAUGGGAAUAAAACGUUCCACGUGUGGGAUUUUGUAUGUACCAUAUGAAUAAGGAUCGGCGAACUCCGUGCCAGCAGCCGCGGUAAUACGGAGGAUCCGAGCGUUAUCCGGAGUUAGUGGGUUUAAAGGGAGCGUAGGUGGAAUGUUAAGUCAGUUGUGAAAGUUUGCGGCUCAACCGUAAAAUUGCAGGUGAAACUGGCAAUCUUGAGGACAGUAGAGGUGGGCGGAAUUCGUGGUGUAGCAGUGAAAUGCUUAGAUAUCACGAAGAACUCCGAUUGCGAAGGCAGUUCACUGGACUGCAACUGACACUGAGGCUCGAAAGUGUGGGUAUCAAACAGGAUUAGAUACCCGGGUAGUC